This 493-nucleotide ribosomal RNA is filed under the name uncultured bacterium. RNAcentral describes it as "partial 16S ribosomal RNA". It matches the Rfam family "Bacterial small subunit ribosomal RNA", at positions 30 to 523 of the family's 1533-position model. The record is from RNAcentral.
AUUGAACGCUGGCGGCAUGCUUUACACAUGCAAGUCGAACGGUAACAGGUUAAGCUGACGAGUGGCGAACGGGUGAGUAAUGCAUCGGAACGUGCCCGAUCGUGGGGGAUAACGCAGCGAAAGCUGCGCUAAUACCGCAUACGAUCUGAGGAUGAAAGCGGGGGACCGUAAGGCCUCGCGCGAUCGGAGCGGCCGAUGUCAGAUUAGGUAGUUGGUGGGGUAAAGGCCCACCAAGCCGACGAUCUGUAGCUGGUCUGAGAGGACGACCAGCCACACUGGGACUGAGACACGGCCCAGACUCCUACGGGAGGCAGAAGUGGGGAAUUUUGGACAAUGGGCGAAAGCCUGAUCCAGCAAUGCCGCGUGCAGGAAGAAGGCCUUCGGGUUGUAAACUGCUUUUGUACGGAGCGAAAAGGUCCUUUCUAAUACAAGGGGCUCAUGACGGUACCGUAAGAAUAAGCACCGGCUAACUACGUGCCAGCAGCCGCCGUAA